Molecule: ribosomal RNA, 285 nt
Filed under: uncultured Pseudomonas sp.
Lineage: Bacteria; Pseudomonadati; Pseudomonadota; Gammaproteobacteria; Pseudomonadales; Pseudomonadaceae
Description: partial 16S ribosomal RNA
Rfam family: Bacterial small subunit ribosomal RNA (bases 1-197)
Source: RNAcentral
UGGGGAAUAUUGGACAAUGGGCGAAAGCCUGAUCCAGCCAUGCCGCGUGUGUGAAGAAGGUCUUCGGAUUGUAAAGCACUUUAAGUUGGGAGGAAGGGCAUUAACCUAAUACGUUAGUGUUUUGACGUUACCGACAGAAUAAGCACCGGCUAACUCUGUGCCCCCCAGCCUAAAUAAAGUAAAAUGUAGGGGGGGGGGGAAAAAAAAAAGUGUGGCGGGGGGCUUUUUUGUUUUUAUCGAGGGCAUCGGGGUGGUGUGUUUUUAGGGUUGUGUUGUAUGUAUGUG